GUUGAUUGCCUCUAAACCUUACGUGAGAAAGAUUCCAGCAGGGAAGUUUAGUUCUGUGGUGUUCUUUGGUCCCAUCAACUACUCUUUCAUGGCAGUAACGAUUCUGGAUUGGGGAUCAACAGAAGGGGCUGAGCUUGAGUUAAGAUUGGGAGGCCAGGGUAUAGGGUCUCAGAGCAAUUUGAUCCAGAGACAAAACAACGGUCUCUUCUGUUUCAGCCAACCCUUUGUUUCAAAGUAUUUUGAUGUUAUUGAUCCUUCAAGGACGAACAACAAUCUUUGACAAAGUUUCAGAAAAAGGUAGCAGC
This is a long non-coding RNA of Zingiber officinale, 305 nucleotides long. RefSeq lists it as uncharacterized. Lineage: Eukaryota; Viridiplantae; Streptophyta; Magnoliopsida; Zingiberales; Zingiberaceae. The transcript has 3 exons. The record is from RefSeq and is a predicted model, not a curated record.